RNAcentral lists this ribosomal RNA (614 nucleotides) under Chryseobacterium sp. GA36. RNAcentral's name for it is "bacterial SSU rRNA". It matches the Rfam family "Bacterial small subunit ribosomal RNA", at positions 72 to 686 of the family's 1533-position model. The record is from RNAcentral. Lineage: Bacteria; Pseudomonadati; Bacteroidota; Flavobacteriia; Flavobacteriales; Weeksellaceae.
UUUGUCUUUCGGGACAGAGAGAGCGGCGUACGGGUGCGGAACACGUGUGCAACCUGCCUUUAUCAGGGGGAUAGCCUUUCGAAAGGAAGAUUAAUACCCCAUAAUAUAUUGAUUGGCAUCAAUUAAUAUUGAAAACUCCGGUGGAUAGAGAUGGGCACGCGCAAGAUUAGAUAGUUGGUGAGGUAACGGCUCACCAAGUCAGUGAUCUUUAGGGGGCCUGAGAGGGUGAUCCCCCACACUGGUACUGAGACACGGACCAGACUCCUACGGGAGGCAGCAGUGAGGAAUAUUGGACAAUGGGUGCGAGCCUGAUCCAGCCAUCCCGCGUGAAGGACGACGGUUCUAUGGAUUGUAAACUUCUUUUAUACAGGGAUAAACCUACUUACGUGUAAGUAGCUGAAGGUACUGUAUGAAUAAGCACCGGCUAACUCCGUGCCAGCAGCCGCGGUAAUACGGAGGGUGCAAGCGUUAUCCGGAUUUAUUGGGUUUAAAGGGUCCGUAGGCGGAUCUGUAAGUCAGUGGUGAAAUCUCACAGCUUAACUGUGAAACUGCCAUUGAUACUGCAGGUCUUGAGUAAAGUAGAAGUGGCUGGAAUAAGUAGUGUAGCGGUGAAA